UACGUAGGGUGCGAGCGUUAAUCGGAAUUACUGGGCGUAAAGCGUGCGCAGGCGGUUUUGUAAGCCAGAUGUGAAAUCCCCGGGCUCAACCUGGGAAUGGCAUUUGGGACUGCAAGGCUUGAGUGCGGCAGAGGAGACUGGAAUUCCAGGUGUAGCGGUGAAAUGCGUAGAUAUCUGGAGGAACACCGGUGGCGAAGGCGGCAUCCUGGACCGAGAUUGACGCUGAGGCGCGAAAGCCAGGGGAGCAAACGGG
This 253-nucleotide ribosomal RNA is filed under the name uncultured bacterium. RNAcentral's name for it is "partial 16S ribosomal RNA". It matches the Rfam family "Bacterial small subunit ribosomal RNA", at positions 524 to 776 of the family's 1533-position model. The record is from RNAcentral.